AUGACUCUCGGCAACGGAUAUCUUGGUCCUCGCAUCGAUGAAGAACGUAGCGAAAUGCGAUACUUGGUGUGAAUUGCAGAAUCCCGUGAACCAUCGAGUUUUUGAACGCAAGUUGCGCCCUAAGCUUCCGGGCCGAGGGCAAGCCUGCGUGGG
This 153-nucleotide ribosomal RNA is filed under the name Potamogeton gramineus (grass-leaf pondweed). Its description in RNAcentral is "5.8S ribosomal RNA". It matches the Rfam family "5.8S ribosomal RNA". Rfam says of the family: 5.8S ribosomal RNA (5.8S rRNA) is a component of the large subunit of the eukaryotic ribosome. It is transcribed by RNA polymerase I as part of the 45S precursor that also contains 18S and 28S rRNA. The record is from RNAcentral. Lineage: Eukaryota; Viridiplantae; Streptophyta; Magnoliopsida; Alismatales; Potamogetonaceae. RNAcentral also lists the same sequence under 20 other names.